CCUACGGGAGGCAGCAGUGGGGAAUCUUAGACAAUGGGCGCAAGCCUGAUCUAGCCAUGCCGCGUGAGUGACGAAGGCCCUAGGGUCGUAAAGCUCUUUCGCCUGUGAUGAUAAUGACAGUAGCAGGUAAAGAAACCCCGGCUAACUCCGUGCCAGCAGCCGCGGUAAUACGGAGGGGGUUAGCGUUGUUCGGAAUUACUGGGCGUAAAGCGCACGUAGGCGGAUCAGAAAGUUGGGGGUGAAAUCCCGGGGCUCAACCCCGGAACUGCCUCCAAAACUUCUGGUCUGGAGUUCGAGAGAGGUGAGUGGAAUUCCGAGUGUAGAGGUGAAAUUCGUAGAUAUUCGGAGGAACACCAGUGGCGAAGGCGGCUCACUGGCUCGAUACUGACGCUGAGGUGCGAAAGUGUGGGGAGCAAACAGGAUUAGAUACCCUGGUAGUCCACACCGUAAACGAUGAAUGCCAGUCGUCGGCGCGCAUGCGUGUCGGUGACACACCUAACGGAUUAAGCAUUCCGCCUGGGGAGUACGGUCGCAAGAUUAAAACUCAAAGGAAUGAC
RNAcentral lists this ribosomal RNA (557 nucleotides) under uncultured Roseovarius sp. RNAcentral's name for it is "bacterial SSU rRNA". It matches the Rfam family "Bacterial small subunit ribosomal RNA", at positions 338 to 914 of the family's 1533-position model. Lineage: Bacteria; Pseudomonadati; Pseudomonadota; Alphaproteobacteria; Rhodobacterales; Roseobacteraceae. The record is from RNAcentral.